This 272-nucleotide long non-coding RNA is filed under the name Salvia miltiorrhiza (redroot sage). RNAcentral describes it as "long non-coding RNA (SMIL_LNC006841)". Lineage: Eukaryota; Viridiplantae; Streptophyta; Magnoliopsida; Lamiales; Lamiaceae. The record is from RNAcentral.
UGCUGAAGGAUUGUAACUUGGUGAGGUCAGACUGUAAGUCGGUGAGGUGGGACUGUAUCCAGGUGAAGUUGGGCUGUAGGCAGGAGAGGUAGGGCUGUAUGAAGGUGAGGUUGGGCUGUACGAUGGAGAGGUUGGGCUGUAAGAUGGUGAGGUUGGGCUGUAAGAGGGAGACGUGGGGCUGUAAGCCGGAGAAGUUGGGUUAUAAGCAGGUGAGGUUGGGCUGUAAGAGGGAGACGUGGGGCUGUAAGCCGGAGAAGUUGGGCUAUACGCAG